This 121-nucleotide unclassified non-coding RNA is filed under the name Stutzerimonas xanthomarina. RNAcentral's name for it is "Pseudomonas xanthomarina FMN". It matches the Rfam family "FMN riboswitch aptamer (RFN element)". From Rfam's summary of the family: The RFN element is a highly conserved domain that is found frequently in the 5'-untranslated regions of prokaryotic mRNAs that encode for flavin mononucleotide (FMN) biosynthesis and transport proteins. This element is a metabolite-dependent riboswitch that directly binds FMN in the absence of proteins. Lineage: Bacteria; Pseudomonadati; Pseudomonadota; Gammaproteobacteria; Pseudomonadales; Pseudomonadaceae. The record is from RNAcentral.
GCAUGCUCUGCGCGCAGUAGCUUUCAAUCGCGUCUAGCCCGCGAGCGCUUGCUUCGGCAAGGUCAGCAGACCCGGUGUGAUUCCGGGGCCGACGGUAUAGUCCGGAUGAGAGAGAGCGGGA